AUUGUGGCUGCAAAGAGAAUAGCAUAGAUGGCAGCUCUGGGUGUUUACUCCUUGUCUUGUUUGCCAGUUAUGUAACUUCUCCCUUCCAUGACUUCACUUGUCUUUGUUUUCCGUCCAUUGUAGUAGCUUCUGCCAAAUGCUCUUGGAAUAGUGGCACUCAAAGAACAAGUGAUCGAAUGUCUCUUCUAAGCUGGUUGAGCAUAAAGCACACUCACUUUGUGUACUUGAAUCCCCCAUUUUCUAAUUCUAUCCACUGUUGUGAAGGGCCAUUCACAAGGUGAAUUGAUGUUUUGGAAUCAAACAUUUACUUAGGAUCAAGCUUUUCCAAGUGACUUUAGGGUAUUGAGGUAGACCGUCCGUUUAUGCUUUCUUUAUGGUGAAUUUUCUUUGAGUUGCAUACUUCCGUAACUUGUCCAUAUUUAGAUCUACCCAUUGUCUAGCCUCAAAGAUCUUUCUAACCACACAGCUUGUUUGUCGAGUGUUUUCAUGUCUUUUAGGCCUUUUUCCUUUAUGUAUUGGUGUUGGAUCCACUGGACUCAAAGAGUGUCGUUUUCUGAGAUAUUACCCAUAGUAGUUUCAAGAUUGUUGCUUUACUUCCUCCGGUCCAUAAUAAGUGGUUAAUUUGCUUUAAGUACACCCAUUACGAAAAUAUUAAAUUUUAGACCAAAAUAGUUAGUGUGACUAAACUACCC
RNAcentral lists this long non-coding RNA (692 nucleotides) under Nicotiana benthamiana. RNAcentral's name for it is "long non-coding RNA (NBEN_LNC026505)". The record is from RNAcentral. Lineage: Eukaryota; Viridiplantae; Streptophyta; Magnoliopsida; Solanales; Solanaceae.